UACGUAGGGUGCAAGCGUUGUCCGGAAUUAUUGGGCGUAAAGAGCUCGUAGGCGGUCUGUCGCGUCGGAUGUGAAAACCCAGGGCUCAACCCUGGGCCUGCAUUCGAUACGGGCAGACUAGAGUUCGGUAGGGGAGACUGGAAUUCCUGGUGUAGCGGUGAAAUGCGCAGAUAUCAGGAGGAACACCGGUGGCGAAGGCGGGACUCUGGGCCGAUACUGACGCUGAGGCGCGAAAGCUAGGGGAGCAAACGGG
This 253-nucleotide ribosomal RNA is filed under the name uncultured bacterium. Its description in RNAcentral is "partial 16S ribosomal RNA". It matches the Rfam family "Bacterial small subunit ribosomal RNA", at positions 524 to 776 of the family's 1533-position model. The record is from RNAcentral.